UGGGGAAUAUUGGACAAUGGGGGCAACCCUGAUCCAGCAAUGCCGCGUGUGUGAAGAAGGUCUUCGGAUUGUAAAGCACUUUCGACGGGGACGAUGAUGACGGUACCCGUAGAAGAAGCCCCGGCUAACUUCGUGCCAGCAGCCGCGGUAAUACGAAGGGGGCUAGCGUUGCUCGGAAUGACUGGGCGUAAAGGGCGUGUAGGCGGUUUACACAGUCAGAUGUGAAAUCCCCGGGCUUAACCUGGGAGCUGCAUUUGAUACGUGUAGACUAGAGUGUGAGAGAGGGUUGUGGAAUUCCCAGUGUAGAGGUGAAAUUCGUAGAUAUUGGGAAGAACACCGGUGGCGAAGGCGGCAACCUGGCUCAUGACUGACGCUGAGGCGCGAAAGCGUGGGGAGCAAACAGGAUUAGAUACCCUGGUAGUCCACGCCUGUAAACGAUGUGUGCUAGAUGUUGGGUAACUUUGUU
This 466-nucleotide ribosomal RNA is filed under the name uncultured bacterium. Its description in RNAcentral is "partial 16S ribosomal RNA". It matches the Rfam family "Bacterial small subunit ribosomal RNA", at positions 355 to 837 of the family's 1533-position model. The record is from RNAcentral.